This is a long non-coding RNA of Neopsephotus bourkii (Bourke's parrot), 694 nucleotides long. RefSeq lists it as uncharacterized. The transcript has 4 exons. NCBI's taxonomy places the organism in Eukaryota, Metazoa, Chordata, Aves, Psittaciformes, Psittacidae. The record is from RefSeq and is a predicted model, not a curated record.
CAGAAGACAAAAUGGUGUAAAUAAAAGGAAGAGUAUAAAUUCAGAUGGUCUCUCAGAAACUUGAACAGAUGCUCCAGUCUGCUGUCUUCUGGAGGUUAGCCAAAGGAAUUCAGGAAGACUGAUUCUUCCAGUAGGAUACUUGAGCACUUUUUGCCCUCACACAUGGAAAAAUCUUCUGGGACUUUCUUUUCUGGCAGAUGUGAAUGUACACAAUGAACUUGGCAAGAAGCAAGAAAGAAACACAGAUGACAGGGGGAAAGGGGAGAGGUGAAGAGAGGAAGAUGGGUGUGAAAGGAAAAGAUGUAAGUGCUGAGCUUCCCACCCUCUGCAAUGCUGUCAGCCUGAACCAUGCAGACAUCUGGUGUGCAAGCAAAUUAUAGCCAAGGCAAAUUCUGUCAUGUAGUUAAAUUUGUCAUUCUCUCUGUCUUGCUUGCUUGCAUCCUCUUGUUCUUUCUUCCUCACUUGCUUUCUCUCUUUCUUUCUCACUCUUUCUUUAUUUCUUAAUUAUUUUUUCUUUAUCCAGCACCUGUCUUUGUAAUAAAUUAGUGGUCCAGCAGCCUUGGAUUAAUCCCAGAGGGAAAGAAUUGGAAGGCUACAGUGUGAUGACAACCCCAUGGCUAACAGCUAGACUCAUAAAGCCCUUUCUCAUUAAAGCGUUUCAGUUUUUAUGAUGGAAACCAAUCCAUCACAGUCA